Molecule: ribosomal RNA, 473 nt
Filed under: uncultured bacterium
Lineage: Bacteria
Description: partial 16S ribosomal RNA
Rfam family: Bacterial small subunit ribosomal RNA
Source: RNAcentral
GAUGAACGCUAGCGGCAGGCCUAAUACAUGCGAGUCGAACGGGUGGUCGCAAGACCACUAGUGGCGCACGGGUGCGUAACGCGUAACCAACCUGCCCCGAUCUGGGGGAUAGCCCGCCGAAAGGCGGAUUAAUACCGCAUAUACCCGCAGCCUGGCAUCAGGCAACGGGGAAAGAUUUAUUGGAUCGGGAUGGGGUUGCGUGACAUUAGCUAGUUGGCGGGGUAAGGGCCCACCAAGGCGACGAUGUCUAGGGGACCUGAGAGGGUGAUCCCCCACACUGGCACUGAGAUACGGGCCAGACUCCUACGGGAGGCAGCAGUAGGGAAUAUUGGGCAAUGGGCGAGAGCCUGACCCAGCCAUGCCGCGUGCCGGAUGAAGGCCUUCUGGGUUGUAAACGGCUUUUCUCAGGGAAGAAAAAGACCUUGCGAGGUACACUGACGGUACCUGAGGAAUAAGCACCGGCUAACUCCGUG